GGCAGGCAGCAGAACCACUGAGCUAAAAUCCCUGGCCCAUCGACAAGUACUUCUUGAGCACGUGCUCCAUUCUGAGCAGUGGAGAGCGUGGAGGAGAUCUGUGAUCCAGAGCAAACCCUGUGCCUAGUACAGGCAAUGAAAAUGCCAGGUGACAAGGCAUGGGCAUGCGGUCCCAUCUGCUCCAGAGGUGGAGGCAUGAGGAUUGAUUGAGCCCAGGAAUUCAGGACCUGCCUGGGCAACAUGGUUCCCAGAAAAACCCAUUUAAAGAGAUGUGAGCCACGAAAGUUCAAGGACCCAAGUUUGAUCCCCCGUACCAAAAAAAAAAAAAA
Non-coding RNA from Heterocephalus glaber (naked mole-rat), 329 nucleotides. NCBI's taxonomy places the organism in Eukaryota, Metazoa, Chordata, Mammalia, Rodentia, Bathyergidae. The record is from RefSeq and is a predicted model, not a curated record.